UACAGAGGUCUCAAGCGUUGUUCGGAUUCAUUGGGCGUAAAGGGUGCGUAGGCGGCGCGGUAAGUCGGGUGUGAAAUCUCGGAGCUUAACUCCGAAACUGCAUUCGAUACUGCCGUGCUUGAGGACGGGAGAGGAGACUGGAAUUUACGGUGUAGCGGUGAAAUGCGUAGAUAUCGUAAGGAAGACCAGUGGCGAAGGCGGGUCUCUGGAACGGUACUGACGCUGAGACGCGAAAGCGUGGGGAGCGAACAGG
RNAcentral lists this ribosomal RNA (253 nucleotides) under uncultured bacterium. RNAcentral describes it as "partial 16S ribosomal RNA". It matches the Rfam family "Bacterial small subunit ribosomal RNA", at positions 524 to 776 of the family's 1533-position model. The record is from RNAcentral.